AUAAAGCAAUGCAUGUUUCAUCCAUGAAAGUUCAUAAUCAUGAUAAUGCAAGUCAUAUAGAAAUAUUGCCAUUUAUCCAUACUUUAUAAAACAUACUCUCAGACGGAUGUGCUGCUAUGGUCACUAUAAUCCCGUGACAGGGCCUGUUAAUCUUAGUCGACUAAUUCUGUUAUUCGUUACCAACUUUAACCCAUUGGCAGAGGGCCUGUUAUUCUUUGGAUGCUAGCUCCAGGGUGUCGACUAGCCUCUAUUUUUAGAGGUGGUCAUAGCUA
Molecule: long non-coding RNA, 272 nt
Filed under: Phoenix dactylifera (date palm)
Lineage: Eukaryota; Viridiplantae; Streptophyta; Magnoliopsida; Arecales; Arecaceae
Description: long non-coding RNA (PDAC_LNC014775)
Source: RNAcentral